GGUUAAGUGAAUAAGGGCGCACGGUGGAUGCCUUGGCACUAGGAGCCGAUGAAGGACGGGACUAACACCGAUAUGCUUUGGGGAGCUGUACGUAAGCUAUGAUCCAGAGAUUUCCGAAUGGGGGAACCCAACAUCUUUAAUAGGAUGUUACGAUUGUGUGAAUACAUAGCACAUUCGAGGUAGACGCAGAGAACUGAAACAUCUAAGUACCUGCAGGGAAGAGAAAGAAAAUUCGAUUCCCUGAGUAGCGGCGAGCGAAACGGGAAAAGCCCAAACCAGCAAGCUUGCUUGUUGGGGUUGUAGGACUCCAAUAUGGUAGUUCUUUCAGAUAGUCGAAUGACUUGGAAAAGUCAGUCAAAGAGGGUAAAAACCCCGUAGACGAAAUGUGGAAGACACCUAGGAGGAUCCUGAGUACGGCGGAACACGAGAAAUUCCGUCGGAAUCCGGGAGGACCAUCUCCCAAGGCUAAAUACUCCCUAGUGACCGAUAGUGAACCAGUACCGUGAGGGAAAGGUGAAAAGCACCCCGGAAGGGGAGUGAAAUAGAACCUGAAACCGUGUGCCUACAACAAGUCAAAGCCCGUUAAUGGGUGAUGGCGUGCCUUUUGUAGAAUGAACCGGCGAGUUACGAUUGCAUGCGAGGUUAAGUUGAAGAGACGGAGCCGCAGCGAAAGCGAGUCUGAAUAGGGCGUUUGAGUAUGUAGUCGUAGACCCGAAACCAUGUGAUCUACCCAUGUCCAGGUUGAAGGUGCGGUAAAACGCACUGGAGGACCGAACCCACGUACGUUGAAAAGUGCGGGGAUGAGGUGUGGGUAGCGGAGAAAUUCCAAACGAACUUGGAGAUAGCUGGUUCUCUCCGAAAUAGCUUUAGGGCUAGCCUCGGAAUUGAGAAUGAUGGAGGUAGAGCACUGUUUGGACUAGGGGCCCAUCUCGGGUUACCGAAUUCAGAUAAACUCCGAAUGCCAUUCAUUCAUAUCCGGGAGUCAGACUGUGAGUGAUAAGAUCCAUAGUCGAAAGGGAAACAGCCCAGACCACCAGCUAAGGUCCCAAAAUAUAUGUUAAGUGGAAAAGGAUGUGGGGUUGCACAGACAACUAGGAUGUUGGCUUAGAAGCAGCCACCAUUUAAAGAGUGCGUAAUAGCUCACUAGUCGAGUGACCCUGCGCCGAAAAUGUACCGGGGCUAAACAUAUUACCGAAGCUGUGGAGUACACCUUUAGGUGUAUUGGUAGGAGAGCGUUCUAAGGGCGUUGAAGGCAGAUCGUGAGGACUGCUGGAGCGCUUAGAAGUGAGAAUGCCGGUAUGAGUAGCGAAAGACAGGUGAGAAUCCUGUCCACCGAAUGACUAAGGUUUCCUGGGGAAGGCUCGUCCGCCCAGGGUUAGUCGGGACCUAAGCCGAGGCCGACAGGCGUAGGCGAUGGAUAACAGGUUGAUAUUCCUGUACCCGUUGUUUUUGUUUGAGCAAUGGAGGGACGCAGGAGGCUAAGGAAUGCAGACGAUCGGAAAUGUCUGUCCAAGCAGUAAGUCUGAAGAGGAGUCAAAUGCUUCUUUUCUUAAGGACAAGCUGUGAUGGGGAGGGAAAUAAUAGUACCGAAGUUCCUGAUGUCACACUGCCGAGAAAAGCUUCUAGUGAGAAAACAGCGGCCCGUACCGCAAACCGACACAGGUAGUCGAGGAGAGAAUCCUAAGGUGAGCGAGAGAACUCUCGUUAAGGAACUCGGCAAAAUGACCCCGUAACUUCGGGAGAAGGGGUGCUGAUCAUACGAUCAGCCGCAGUGAAUAGGCCCAAGCGACUGUUUAUCAAAAACACAGGUCUCUGCAAAAUCGUAAGAUGAAGUAUAGGGGCUGACGCCUGCCCGGUGCUGGAAGGUUAAGAGGAGUGCUUAGCGCAAGCGAAGGUACGAAUUGAAGCCCCAGUAAACGGCGGCCGUAACUAUAACGGUCCUAAGGUAGCGAAAUUCCUUGUCGGGUAAGUUCCGACCCGCACGAAAGGCGUAACGAUUUGGGCACUGUCUCAACGAG
RNAcentral lists this ribosomal RNA (2018 nucleotides) under Enterococcus faecium. RNAcentral describes it as "partial 23S ribosomal RNA". It matches the Rfam family "Bacterial large subunit ribosomal RNA", at positions 1 to 2028 of the family's 2925-position model. The record is from RNAcentral. Lineage: Bacteria; Bacillati; Bacillota; Bacilli; Lactobacillales; Enterococcaceae.